This 452-nucleotide ribosomal RNA is filed under the name uncultured bacterium. RNAcentral's name for it is "bacterial SSU rRNA". It matches the Rfam family "Bacterial small subunit ribosomal RNA", at positions 29 to 524 of the family's 1533-position model. The record is from RNAcentral.
AACGAACGCUGGCGGCAGGCCUCAAACAUGCAAGUCUAGGGGGUGUAGCAAUACAUCACCGGCGGACGGGUGCGUAACGCGUGGGAAUAUACCUAUCGAUUCGGAACAACUGAGGGAAACUUCAGCUAAUACCGAAUACGUCCUAACGGAGAAAGAUUUAUCGUCGAUAGAUUAGCCCGCGUUCGAUUAGCUAGUUGGUGGGGUAACGGCCCACCAAGGCGACGAUCGAUAGCUGUUCUGAGAGGAAGAUCAGCCACACUGGGACUGAGACACGGCCCAGACUCCUACGGGAGGCAGCAGUUGGGAAUCUUGGACAAUGGGGGAAACCCUGAUCCAGCCAUGCCGCGUGAGUGAUGAAGGCCUUAGGGUUGUAAAGCUCUUUUACCCGAGAUGAUAAUGACAGUAUCGGGAGAAUAAGCUCCGGCUAACUCCGUGCCAGCAGCCGCGGUAAU